Molecule: ribosomal RNA, 497 nt
Filed under: uncultured bacterium
Lineage: Bacteria
Description: partial 16S ribosomal RNA
Rfam family: Bacterial small subunit ribosomal RNA
Source: RNAcentral
GAUGAACGCUGGCGGCGUGCCUAAUACAUGCAAGUCGAGCGAACAGACGAGGAGCUUGCUCCUCUGACGUUAGCGGCGGACGGGUGAGUAACACGUGGAUAACCCACCUAUAAGACUGGGAUAACUUCGGGAAACCGGAGCUAAUACCGGAUAAUAUAUUGAACCGCAUGGUUCAAUAGUGAAAGACGGUUUUGCUGUCACUUAUAGAUGGAUCCGCGCCGCAUUAGCUAGUUGGUAAGGUAACAGCUUACCAAGGCAACGAUGCGUAGCCGACCUGAGAGGGUGAUCGGCCACACUGGAACUGAGACACGGUCCAGACUCCUACGGGAGGCAGCAGUAGGGAAUCUUCCGCAAUGGGCGAAAGCCUGACGGAGCAACGCCGCGUGAGUGAUGAAGGUCUUCGGAUCGUAAAACUCUGUUAUUAGGGAAGAACAAAUGUGUAAGUAACUAUGCACGUCUUGACGGUACCUAAUCAGAAAGCCACGGCUAACUACGUG